CUCGUAGGCGGUCUGUCAAGUCUGAUGUGAAAGCCCGGGGCUCAACCCCGGAAGUGCAUUGGAAACUGGCAGACUUGAGUACGGGAGAGGAAAGUGGAAUUUCGAGUGUAGGGGUGAAAUCCGUAGAUAUUCGAAGGAACACCAGUGGCGAAGGCGGCUUUCUGGACCGAUACUGACGCUGAGAUGCGAAAGCGUGGGGAGCAAACAGGAUUAGAUACCCUGGUAGUCC
Molecule: ribosomal RNA, 229 nt
Filed under: uncultured bacterium
Lineage: Bacteria
Description: partial 16S ribosomal RNA
Rfam family: Bacterial small subunit ribosomal RNA
Source: RNAcentral